CUGAAAUAGAAACAGAAAACUUCAAAGCUAAAUAUAAAUUGAGUUUAUUUAGCUAAGCCUCAGACCAAGAAACAAAAUUAUUAGGUCUGUUGGAAGUAGAGGAGAUGUUACUGGUAGGAAGGGAUGAUAAGGCAGAAGAAAAAAGGGAAUGAUAAUUCAUAGCCUCCAGAACUUGAUGAGAUUAAUAGGAGUGCAGAUACUUGCAUACUUAGGCGCUACAUUACAAGAAACUGCAGUGAAUAUUCAUUUUGGAAUUACACUUUCCCAUCAAUGACAAGGAGAAAUUAACUAAAACAAUAUUUUAUUUCCUACUUUAAUGGGGUGAUUUUCAAGCUUCGAAAGAGCUGGAAAUGCUGCCUGACAGGAUGAAGCUCCCAUCCCAUGCUAACAGUUAUGCAGAGUCCAUUCAUUUUCUGAAAGGCUGCUGUUCAUGUGUGCUAAAAGCUUCACUUUGUAUUACACUACAGAUAC
RNAcentral lists this long non-coding RNA (471 nucleotides) under Struthio camelus australis. Its description in RNAcentral is "lncRNA (ENSSCUG00000000449.1)". The record is from RNAcentral. Lineage: Eukaryota; Metazoa; Chordata; Aves; Struthioniformes; Struthionidae.